Non-coding RNA from Podarcis lilfordi (Lilford's wall lizard), 4472 nucleotides. The record is from the annotation of a GenBank genome assembly. NCBI's taxonomy places the organism in Eukaryota, Metazoa, Chordata, Lepidosauria, Squamata, Lacertidae.
CGCAGAGUGGACCAGAGUUGAACUUUCCCAUCCUUGUCAUCCAUUUUGAUCCAUCAUGGCUACUCUGCUGUUGGGUGAAGCUUGCUGAAAUGGCUUGUGCCCUCAUGCCUAGCAGGGCCCAGAUUAACAGAGAAUAGGCUCAUUCCCAGAGCAAUAAACCAUGGUCUGUCAUGAUAUCUGAACAUAUCCAUUAUCUGCCUACCAUCAUCUGUUCAUUAUUUUUCUGUAAAAUCUGCUUUCUAUAUACUUUAUACAGGCCAUACCCUUGACCUACCAUUGUCCACCAUAAGUGACCUUGCCCCAUGGCUGUUAGACUCCAUUCUGGGCCCUGUGACUCAUGGAAAGGAGCACUCUUCACUUAUGUGAAAUGUUGUUUACUCUUUGCCCAAGCCCCUGUGGAUCUCAUGGCAGUAAUGUUGCGCCACUAUAAAGACCUCCACGGUCCAGUUCUCCUGGCAUCCUUUUUGAGGUUCCCAGGCUCCUGGACAUUCCUCUGGCAAUCAUUUGUCCCUGGUAUUUAUUCAUGUUUAUGUCCAAGCUCCAUAUUAGAUCAUCACUGUUUGGAAAGCACAAGCCCUCUUAAAAACAUGAAACAUUCAAUUACUAAUUAGCUGUUUCCUGUUUGUAAUAGAGUGAACAUGCUGGAUGUGGAUUAAAAUUCAGCUCCUGCACUUGGCUGUUUAUAGUUCCAGAUGUUUUUGUUUUAUCUAGGAGUUUACUUUGACAGCUCCCGUUAAAUGAUAAAUCACUCAUAUUAUAGCUGAAAUGCAUUUCAAAAUUGAAAUGUAGCAAAACUUGGUGAUUGCUCCAAGGAUCUGUGUCGGUUAGCCGGUCAAUACAGGUUCUUUCCUUAUGAAGAUUUGGUAUUGGCAUAUGUAAAACAGUAAUGGGAGAUAUGUCAACAUUAUACACAUGCCGGUUGGGUUGAUCAUUUUCCUACAGCCUCCAAAAGCAGUAGUUGCUGGUGCAGCUGUUUGGACUUUAAAUGCAUUCUAAGACUAAUAGGAAUAUAGAUUUGCAUUCCUUUUGGCUCUCCGUAGACUCCCCCCCUACCCCCACCACCACUGCCUGAACUUAAAACAGCAUAUUUCUUAUCAUUAAGAAAAGAGCUUGGUGUCUGUUUGCUUUUCCAGAUAAAGAGGAAUGCAGAAAACAAAGGUGAUAGAAGUGGCUUCUCCUCCCAAUCCCAGGAGAGAUAUUGAUUUACUAACCAUGCUGAUUUGUAAUGCAGUCUUUUAUGUUUUAAAAUAUGCCCUCUUGCAGGUGGAUUGGGCAUGUGAUGAGCUUAAUUCACUUUGUAGACUAAUGGAAGUAUUCACUUGAUUCACUCAACACCUUUUUAGGUCUCUCAAUUUCGUAUUCCAGGUUUUAUUCAAGAAUAUAUGCAAAAACAAAAUAAAUUAAGCUGUUGCCAUCUAGGACCUCACAUUGGUACUGGCAAGGCCUGGCUAAAGGGCAGGCCAGCUGCAGGAGACCAGGACCACGAUCAGCUCUUGCGUGGAUUGGGUGUCAUGGACUGGCUGUAAAGGCAUUAAAAGCAGCAAGUUAGGAUGUUGCUGCAGCAAUACUCCAAAGUCAACUGGAUUUUUAUAGUCCUGCACCAAAGAGGUUGCUCCACCCGCUCUGAGGAAGCUUGCAACUGAAAGAGCUUGUACUCUGUUUCUCAGGCAUUGGCUUUGGUGGGGUAGGGAGGGAGGUCCUGUCUGGUGGAGUCAGGCUUCAGGGAAUCAACCCCACUCCCGUGGCAGUAGAUAAGCAGAACAAAGGAAAAGGGAGUUUUUUUACCAGUUAUAAACUUUAAUGAUCACAGCAAGAUAAUAAAGAACCCUUCUCCUAGGAAUGGUGCUGCUCCCAAUUAAGAAUCUCACCCCCUACAUCCCUAUUCAUCCACGUCACUUCUACGUCUUGAAAUCUGAGCUUGUACUUGCUUUGUGUGCUUUCUGUUCUGCCACUUUCUCAGCUCUUCUUGACCUUGGGGAGAGCGGAGGAAUGCUUUCCAGAGACAGUGAAUCUGUUAACCCUCUCUCUCCCAGUGUUUCUUCUCCUACCUGUUCCCCAUCCAGUAUUUCCCAGCUUCUGCCUUCUGAACUAUGCCCCUCUGCAAACCACUGUUCCAAAUCUAUACCGUCCUCCUGCUCCUGGGAAGAUUCAGGAUCCAGCUCAGGAGCAGGGGGAGGGGAGGCUCCCACCAUUCCUCCUCUGUGCAGCCCUCCUCAGCACGGUCUCUGACAGGUGGUAGUAGUAGGGUGCCCUCCCACACCGAGAAGGGUUCUGAAGAGGAGGCGCCUCAAAAGAGAACAGGGCAGAUGCUGGCAGUGCUGGUUCCCUGGGCUCUCUGGAAAGGCAGAUAUUUCCAGGUAUGGCUCCUAUCCCAAGUCUCUCCACCCCCCCCCACCAUCAAGGUCUGACUUAAACUUGUUGCUUAUUGUCAUACUUUUAAGCAGAAAAGAAAAUGUUAAGCCUUUAAAAAAGCAAAAAUAAAAAACAAAUCUAAUUGGUCAUAAACUAGUCGGUGAUUCCUAGUUUGCUGGAUGAGGUCUUGAAGUCUUGAAUGGAAUCUUAAGUGCAUGACCUCCCACCAGAACUAUCUAGCACCUUGGAUUUAGCAAAGUUUUGUUUUUAUUAACUUAGAAAGGAUCUAGAGUCUUACUGGGGGGAAACCCAGCCAGAUGGGCGCAGUAUAAAUAAUAAAUUAUUAUUAUAAAUUAUUAUAAAUUACUACUACUACUACUACUACUACUACUAGAGAUUCUUUUUUAAUGUUCUGCAUUAUUUGUCUAGUUCAGCCCUUAGUGAUUUUGCCUAACCCAUAAAGACAGAUGUAUAAAGUCAGGAACCAAUGAAGGCUUUUCUGCUGCAGAGCGAAUUCUGCUUCCAUUCAUUUUUGCUCCUCUAAUGACAUGCAUACCUGACUCUGAAUCCAGUACAGGUUACCCCCCCCCCCCCAAUAUGGCUACACUUUGCCUGUAAAAAAUGGAUGUGAAGGAUAUGUUUAGCAGGUUAAAUGUUUAUUUUUGCACCUAGGUAUGUUUUUAAGCUGGUCCGUUGUUUUCUGUCAUCAUCAUCAUCGCCAUCAUCACUACUAUUACUAGUAUAUUGAUCCAUGCAGAGGAGGGGAAGUGAGUUCAUAACUUCCACAAGGGCCAGCCAAUCAGCACUUUGCACAGCCAGAAUCAGGAAGGAAUUGGUUGUUCCUGAGCUCAGUUCUUUUAGGAAGGUUGUAUGUCUAACCCAAGCAAAGUGAAGGCGGAUCCACAACAGGCUCACCAUCUGUGUCCAUCUGUACAGAGCCUUACAAAUACUGUUUGUAUAUUUACUCAGAAGGAAUUGCCAUGGUACAUGUCUCACUUCUUGCUGUACUCAAAGUCUUACUUUUACUCUAGCCAAUCAGGAUAUUCCUGCAUUUGCAGAUUUGAAACGUGUGUGAUUCAUAAAUAUUGAUUUUAACUCAGCCUUUUCAAAAGUGCAAAUAUUAGAUUUAUGUAAUUACCAUGCUGUGUUCUUCUUUUUUUCUUCCAGAAAACAGAGCAUACAUCAAACCUACCAUUAUGUACUGAAGACAGUAAAAAUGAAGGGGUGGGAUGGGGAAAAUAUAAUGAUCACUAUUUGAAGACUAUAUAACUCAUGAAAGAAGUCCCUUCUAACCUUUGAUGCCUUCAGUGUUCUGCGAAGGACAGGAUUGGUAGCAUUGAAAUGUGGACAGUGUGAAGCAAUUUACUGUUCCUGUGUUGAAAACUGCCAAAAUGUCAUUGAGAAAUAUUAUGACUUCUUUCAAGCUUUCUGUACUAUACCAAACCUGUUGUAGCAAUUCAUUUUAGGCCCCAGAGGAUAGAGAGGGAGGGGGUAAAAGUUAUACUAGAACUCUUAAGCACACACAAGAAUGAUUCCCCAAAAUAACUAACUUCCCACCCCCCCACAAGGAGUUAGCUAUUACAGUAUAGCAAUGGCACAAUGAAUUAAACAAGCCGCAAAGGUUUUCACUGGCUGUAUGUCCUACAGGUCCAGUGUUAGCACUGAAACUGCUCAACAUAGAGCCGUUUCAAUUGUGUUUAUAAAUUUAAGCUUUGUUUACUGAAGCUGAAACUCAAUAUAUAAUACAUUUCGAAGAUAAAAGUAUGUACAUUUUUUAUUACGAUAACGAUGUAAAAAUUGUCCUUUCCUUAGAUGAGCAAUCUGAGAGGGUGUGAACAUAACCCACAAUAGCUGAUGUAAUAAGGGGAUUAUAAAUUGAUGCAGCAUCAUCAUCAUUAUUAUUAUUCUUACAUUAUUCUUAUUAUUAUUCUCAGUUCCGCUUGGCUUUUGGUCUUUCAAGAAGAAUGGGGGGAGGGGAGGAUGACUAUAUAGUAGAAUAUUAGACAAUAGAAAAUUUAAAGUAUAGUUUCUCUGUUGUACAAUAUUAAGUUAAAAGUACACAUUCUUUGUUAAAAUGUUCUUGCUAAAAACAGCAGUAUUAAAAACAUUUUGUUUGACUU